RNAcentral lists this microRNA precursor (74 nucleotides) under Canis lupus familiaris (dog). Its description in RNAcentral is "mir-8799 microRNA precursor family". It matches the Rfam family "mir-8799 microRNA precursor family". The record is from Rfam by way of RNAcentral. RNAcentral also lists the same sequence under 1 other name. Lineage: Eukaryota; Metazoa; Chordata; Mammalia; Carnivora; Canidae.
CGGGGGAGGCCGGAUCCUGGGCUGUGUCCCGGUGCCUACACUGUUGGAUUGGCGCUCCCGCCCCGCAGCCCCCU